This 75-nucleotide transfer RNA is filed under the name Nitrospirillum viridazoti Y2. RNAcentral describes it as "Nitrospirillum amazonense Y2 tRNA-Val". Lineage: Bacteria; Pseudomonadati; Pseudomonadota; Alphaproteobacteria; Rhodospirillales; Azospirillaceae. The record is from RNAcentral.
UGGUGGGCGCGGUAGGGAUUGAACCUACGACCCCCGCCGUGUGAAGGCGAUGCUCUCCCGCUGAGCUACGCGCCC